Otolemur garnettii (small-eared galago) is the source of this 515-nucleotide RNA transcript. It is a transcript of the gene named peptidyl-prolyl cis-trans isomerase A-like, with no coding region annotated. The transcript has a single exon. The record is from RefSeq and is a predicted model, not a curated record. NCBI's taxonomy places the organism in Eukaryota, Metazoa, Chordata, Mammalia, Primates, Galagidae.
UAUAAUCGUCUUGUAUCAGCCAUGGUCAACUGCAGCAUGUUCUUCGAUAUUGCCACCGACGGCGAGCCCUUGGGCCACGUCUCCUUCGAGCUGUUUGCAGACAAAGUUCCAAAGACAGCAGAAAACUUUCAUGCUCUGAGCACUGGAGAGAAAGGAUUUGGUUAUAAGGGUUCUUGCUUUCACAGAAUUAUUCCAGGGUUUAUGUGCCAGGGUGGUGACUUCACACGCCAUAAUGGCACUGGUGGCAAGUCUAUCUACGGGGAGAAAUGUGAAGAUGAAAACUUUGUCCUGAAGCAUACAGGUCCUGGCAUCUUGUCCAUGGCAAAUGCUGGACCCAACAUGAAUGGUUCCCAGUUUUUCAUCUGUACUACCGAGACUGAGUGGUUGGAUGGCAGCACGUGGGCUUUGGCAAGGUGAAAGAAGGCAUGAAUGUUGUGGAAGCCAUGGAGCACUUUGGGUCCAAGAAUGGCAAGACCAGCAAGAUGACCCCCAUUACUGAAUAUGGACAACUGUAA